CGGACUUCAAGAGAACAAAGACGAACACUGGAUCCCUACUGGAUUUGGAGGUCUACAGAGAGGGCUGCAUUUUGUCCAGAAUUUGGAAGCUUAUCAGACACAGGGGCCAGGAACAGAAGCCUCCCACAAGCCCAGAAGGACAUACUUAAUGCACAGCACUGAUUGCUACAGGGACCAAGAUGGGGACUUACAGAUUCCAAGUGGUCACACUGAAGGAACUCCGAUGUGUUUCUUCAUCUUUACCUUCACUGUGCAGUCGCUGCGUAGGUCAUAUCUG
Long non-coding RNA from Homo sapiens (human), 277 nucleotides. RefSeq lists it as uncharacterized. The record is from RefSeq and is a predicted model, not a curated record. The transcript has 3 exons. Lineage: Eukaryota; Metazoa; Chordata; Mammalia; Primates; Hominidae.